Gossypium arboreum is the source of this 293-nucleotide long non-coding RNA. RefSeq lists it as uncharacterized. The record is from RefSeq and is a predicted model, not a curated record. Lineage: Eukaryota; Viridiplantae; Streptophyta; Magnoliopsida; Malvales; Malvaceae. The transcript is spliced from 2 exons.
AAUUAUAGGCGGUUCGUCUGUGGAUCUCGUCAACAUAUCGUCGCAAACAGGAAAUCCCCAACCAUAAUGGGCUUGGAUCUGUGAGGGAAUUCGGAGUGGCCACCCGUUCUGAAAGUUUGAUUUUCUUUUGGUGAACUGGACAUCCUUUUAAUUACGUUUGAGGUUUUGGGCUUUUAAAUGUAAUAAGGCCGCUUAAUUAUUUUUAAUGGUUUUAAUAUGUAUUACUAAGAUAGGUAUUACUUAUUUUAACUGUUGAAAUUGGAUAGCUUAGGGCGCGUUUUCAAAAAUAACAA